GCAGCCAUUACUCAGUUGCAAAUUUAGUUAUAAUUACCUUAAAAAUCACAGAGUGCACUCCAAUCUUCUAUAAAAUCCAAAGAAGCAUUCCUAUAGAAAGCUCGGCAUAUAGGAAUAUUGAACAAUCAAAGCUACAUAACAAUUAGAUUUUGUCAAUGUCUUCAUCUUCAAACUCAAUAUAGUCAUCGGCGCCGCCUUCCUCGUCUUCAUCGAGACCGCCUGCGAUACCCUCAUUGAGACGGACAUUCUCUGGAAGCUCACC
RNAcentral lists this ribosomal RNA (262 nucleotides) under Pinus taeda (loblolly pine). Its description in RNAcentral is "partial hypothetical protein". Lineage: Eukaryota; Viridiplantae; Streptophyta; Pinopsida; Pinales; Pinaceae. The record is from RNAcentral.